RNAcentral lists this ribosomal RNA (476 nucleotides) under uncultured bacterium. RNAcentral describes it as "partial 16S ribosomal RNA". It matches the Rfam family "Bacterial small subunit ribosomal RNA", at positions 28 to 523 of the family's 1533-position model. The record is from RNAcentral.
GACGAACGCUGGCGGCGUGCUUAACACAUGCAAGUCGAACGAUGCCUCCUUCGGGUGGAUUAGUGGCGAACGGGUGAGUAACACGUGGGUGAUCUGCCCUGCACUUUGGGAUAAGCCUGGGAAACUGGGUCUAAUACCGAAUAUGAUCAUGCUCUUCAUGGGGUGUGGUGGAAAGCUUUUGCGGUGUGGGAUGGGCCCGCGGCCUAUCAGCUUGUUGGUGGGGUAAUGGCCUACCAAGGCGACGACGGGUAGCCGGCCUGAGAGAGUGACCGGCCAGACUGGGACUGAGAUACGGGCCAGACUCCUACGGGAGGCAACAGUGGGGAAGAUUGCACAAUGGGCGCAAGCCUGAUGCAGCGACGCCGCGUGAGGGAUGACGGCCCUCGGGUUGUAAACCUCUUUAAGCAGGGACGAAGCGAAAGUGACGGUACCUGCAGAAGAAGGACCGGCCAACUACGUGCCAGCCGCCGCCGUAA